Molecule: long non-coding RNA, 279 nt
Filed under: Lathyrus oleraceus (garden pea)
Lineage: Eukaryota; Viridiplantae; Streptophyta; Magnoliopsida; Fabales; Fabaceae
Description: Pisum sativum (pea) long non-coding RNA (PSAT_LNC016521)
Source: RNAcentral
GAAUGAGAAUCAGAGCAUGCCGUAGUUCGGCUAACUACGGGGUUAUGGAGUGGGUUUUGGACAAACGACGUUACUACACAAUCUACCGGAUGCUCGACCUUUGGAGACUUACUCACCUGUAGUAGAAGGAGUAAACGUGUGUUUAGGAGAAGAAAAAUCAAUGAAGGGUUUGGGUUUGGUGAACUCAUGCAAAAAGGCAGUCCUUGACGAAGGAACCUGUAAAAAAAAAAAAACAACACACAAAAACAUUGCCUCCUGUCGAGGUCUUCCAGCUAGGAA